CCCGUGCUACCUGUAGCUCACUUAG
RNAcentral lists this transfer RNA (25 nucleotides) under Aporrectodea caliginosa. Its description in RNAcentral is "partial tRNA-Asn". Lineage: Eukaryota; Metazoa; Annelida; Clitellata; Crassiclitellata; Lumbricidae. The record is from RNAcentral.